RNAcentral lists this ribosomal RNA (464 nucleotides) under uncultured bacterium. RNAcentral describes it as "bacterial SSU rRNA". It matches the Rfam family "Bacterial small subunit ribosomal RNA", at positions 330 to 792 of the family's 1533-position model. The record is from RNAcentral.
UCCAGACUCCUACGGGAGGCAGCAGUGAGGAAUAUUGGUCAAUGGCCGGGAGGCUGAACCAGCCAAGCCGCGUGAGGGAUGAAGGUACAGAGUAUCGUAAACCUCUUUUGUCAGGGAACAAAGGCGGGGACGUGUCCCCGGAUGAGUGUACCUGAAGAAAAAGCAUCGGCUAACUCCGUGCCAGCAGCCGCGGUAAUACGGAGGAUGCGAGCGUUAUCCGGAUUUAUUGGGUUUAAAGGGUGCGCAGGCGGAGGCACAAGGCAGCGGAAAAAUCGGGGGGCUCAACCCCGUCGAGCCGUUGAAACUGGCAGACGUGAGUUGGCGAGAAGUACGCGGAAUGCGCGGUGUAGCGGUGAAAUGCAUAGAUAUCGCGCAGAACUCCGAUUGCGAAGGCAGCGUACCGGCGCCAGACUGACGCUGAGGCACGAAAGCGUGGGGAUCGAACAGGAUUAGAUACCCCAGUA